Molecule: ribosomal RNA, 484 nt
Filed under: uncultured bacterium
Lineage: Bacteria
Description: partial 16S ribosomal RNA
Rfam family: Bacterial small subunit ribosomal RNA
Source: RNAcentral
AUUGAACGCUGGCGGCAGGCCUAACACAUGCAAGUCGAGCGGAUGAAGGGAGCUUGCUCCUGGCUUCAGCGGCGGACGGGCGAGUAAUGCCUAGGAAUCUGCCUGGUAGUGGGGGAUAACGUCCGGAAACGGGCGCGAAUACCGCAUACGUCCAGAGGGAGAAAGUGGGGGAUCUUCGGACAUCACGCUAUCAGAUGAGCCUAGGUCGGAUUAGCUAGUUGGUGGGGUAAAGGCCUACCAAGGCGACGAUCCGUAACUGGUCUGAGAGGAUGAUCAGUCACACUGGAACUGAGACACGGUCCAGACUCCUACGGGAGGCAGCAGUGGGGAAUAUUGGACAAUGGGCGAAAGCCUGAUCCAGCCAUGCCGCGUGUGUGAAGAAGGUCUUCGGAUUGUAAAGCACUUUAAGUUGGGAGGAAGAGCAGUAAGUUAAUCCCUUGCUGUUUUGACGUUACCAACAGAGUAAGCACCGGCUAACUUCGUG